This is a non-coding RNA of Caretta caretta (loggerhead turtle), 341 nucleotides long. NCBI's taxonomy places the organism in Eukaryota, Metazoa, Chordata, Testudines, Cheloniidae. The record is from RefSeq and is a predicted model, not a curated record.
CGGUUGCCCAGUGUCAUCACCCUGCCUGGUGUCUCGGUAGGGUAAUUCCUCAGGUCACCACCCUUUCCAGCCUGCCUUGAGCUUGGAGAAUGAGGAGGAGGGCAAGCGAAAGCUGGCCACCCUGAACAUCUGUCAUCCAUCUCUCCAUCACCCAGAGCAAGAGCUCAUUGAGGAGGUGCCUGAUAUCUCUCCACCCAGUGCCAUCCUCGCUAACUCCCUGAUUGCUGUGGGCAACCUCAGCACCACGACAGCUGCCCUGGAGCCAGAGCUAGAGACCCACCUCCUUCGAGCUGCCCCGCAUGCCAUCUUCACCCUGGGCAUGGAGAAGGACACCACCCACC